GACGGAGGGUGCAAGCGUUGCUCGGAAUCACUGGGCGUAAAGGGUGCGUAGGCGGCUUCUUAAGUCUGACGUGAAAGCCCGGGGCUCAGCCUCGGAAGUGCGCUAGAAACUGAGGAGCUCGAGUGCCGGAGGGGAGAGUGGAAUUCCUGGUGUAGCGGUGAAAUGCGUAGAUAUCAGGAGGAAUACCGGUGGCGAAAGCGACUCUCUGGACGGCAACUGACGCUGAGGCACGAAAGCGUGGGGAGCAAACAGG
RNAcentral lists this ribosomal RNA (253 nucleotides) under uncultured bacterium. RNAcentral's name for it is "partial 16S ribosomal RNA". It matches the Rfam family "Bacterial small subunit ribosomal RNA", at positions 524 to 776 of the family's 1533-position model. The record is from RNAcentral.